RNAcentral lists this ribosomal RNA (829 nucleotides) under uncultured bacterium. RNAcentral describes it as "bacterial SSU rRNA". It matches the Rfam family "Bacterial small subunit ribosomal RNA", at positions 37 to 843 of the family's 1533-position model. The record is from RNAcentral.
UGGCGGCGUGCCUAACACAUGCAAGUCGAACGGAAUUGAGGAGCUUGCUCUUCAAUUUAGUGGCGCACGGGUGAGUAACGCGUAGAUAAUCUGCCUGAUGAUUUGGGAUAACACUUCGAAAGAGGUGCUAAUACCGGAUAAGCCCACGGAGUCUUUGGACACUGCGGGAAAAGGGGGGGACCUUCGGGCCUUCUGUCAUCAGAUGAGUCUGCGUACCAUUAGCUAGUUGGUAGGGUAAUGGCCUACCAAGGCUACGAUGGUUAGCUGGUUUGAGAGAACGAUCAGCCACACUGGAACUGAGACACGGUCCAGACUCCUACGGGAGGCAGCAGUGGGGAAUUUUGCGCAAUGGGCGAAAGCCUGACGCAGCAACGCCGCGUGAGUGAUGAAGGCUUUCGGGUCGUAAAGCUCUGUCGAGGGGAAAGAAAUGUAUUUGGGCUAAUACCCUUUAUACUUGACGGUACCCCUAAAGGAAGCACCGGCUAACUCCGUGCCAGCAGCCGCGGUAAUACGGGGGGUGCAAGCGUUGUUCGGAAUUAUUGGGCGUAAAGCGCGUGUAGGCGGUCUGAUUAGUCUGAUGUGAAAGCCCUGGGCUCAACCCAGGAAGUGCAUUGGAUACUGUCAGACUUGAAUACGGGAGAGGGUAGUGGAAUUCCUAGUGUAGGAGUGAAAUCCGUAGAUAUUAGGAGGAACACCGGUGGCGAAAGCGGCUACCUGGACCGAUAUUGACGCUGAGACGCGAAAGCGUGGGUAGCAAACAGGAUUAGAUACCCUGGUAGUCCACGCCGUAAACGAUGAGUACUAGUGUUGCGGGUAUUGACCCCUGCAG